This 304-nucleotide ribosomal RNA is filed under the name Salmonella enterica subsp. diarizonae. RNAcentral describes it as "bacterial SSU rRNA". It matches the Rfam family "Bacterial small subunit ribosomal RNA", at positions 931 to 1235 of the family's 1533-position model. Lineage: Bacteria; Pseudomonadati; Pseudomonadota; Gammaproteobacteria; Enterobacterales; Enterobacteriaceae. The record is from RNAcentral.
GGUGGAGCAUGUGGUUUAAUUCGAUGCAACGCGAAGAACCUUACCUGGUCUUGACAUCCACAGAAGUUUCCAGAGAUGGGAACGUGCCUUCGGGAACUGUGAGACAGGUGCUGCAUGGCUGUCGUCAGCUCGUGUUGUGAAAUGUUGGGUUAAGUCCCGCAACGAGCGCAACCCUUAUCCUUUGUUGCCAGCGGUUAGGCCGGGAACUCAAAGGAGACUGCCAGUGAUAAACUGGAGGAAGGUGGGGAUGACGUCAAGUCAUCAUGGCCCUUACGACCAGGGCUACACACGUGCUACAAUGGAA